RNAcentral lists this ribosomal RNA (299 nucleotides) under Escherichia coli. Its description in RNAcentral is "partial 16S ribosomal RNA". It matches the Rfam family "Bacterial small subunit ribosomal RNA", at positions 902 to 1201 of the family's 1533-position model. The record is from RNAcentral. Lineage: Bacteria; Pseudomonadati; Pseudomonadota; Gammaproteobacteria; Enterobacterales; Enterobacteriaceae.
CAAAUGAAUUGACGGGGGCCCGCACAAGCGGUGGAGCAUGUGGUUUAAUUCGAUGCAACGCGAAGAACCUUACCUGGUCUUGACAUCCACGGAAGUUUUCAGAGAUGAGAAUGUGCCUUCGGGAACCGUGAGACAGGUGCUGCAUGGCUGUCGUCAGCUCGUGUUGUGAAAUGUUGGGUUAAGUCCCGCAACGAGCGCAACCCUUAUCCUUUGUUGCCAGCGGUCCGGCCGGGAACUCAAAGGAGACUGCCAGUGAUAAACUGGAGGAAGGUGGGGAUGACGUCAAGUCAUCAUGGCCC